Molecule: non-coding RNA, 73 nt
Organism: Trichonephila inaurata madagascariensis
Lineage: Eukaryota; Metazoa; Arthropoda; Arachnida; Araneae; Nephilidae
Source: the annotation of a GenBank genome assembly
GUCCCUGUAGAGCUUUGGAUAGCGUGUUGAACUUCUAAUCCAAAGGUCAUGUGCUCGAAUCCCAACUGGGAUA